ACCGCGAAACUGCGAAUGGCUCAUUAUAUAAGUUAUCGUUUAUUUGAUAAUACUUUACUACUUGGAUAACCGUGGUAAUUCUAGAGCUAAUACAUGCUGAAAAUCCCGACUUCGGAAGGGAUGUAUUUAUUAGAUUAAAAACCAAUGCCCCUCGGGGCUCUCUGGUGAAUCAUGAUAACUAGUCGAAUCGACAGGCCUUGUGCCGGCGAUGGCUCAUUCAAAUUUCUUCCCUAUCAACUUUCGAUGUUUGGGUAUUGGCCAAACAUGGUGGCAACGGGUAACGGAGGGUUAGGGCUCGACCCCGGAGAAGGAGCCUGAGAAACGGCUACUACAUCCAAGGAAGGCAGCAGGCGCGCAAAUUACCCAAUCCCGACACGGGGAGGUAGUGACAAUAAAUACUGAUACAGGGCUCUUUUGGGUCUUGUAAUCGGAAUGAGUACAAUUUAAAUCCCUUAACGAGGAACAAUUGGAGGGCAAGUCUGGUGCCAGCAGCCGCGGUAAUUCCAGCUCCAAUAGCGUAUAUUAAAGUUGUUGUGGUUAAAAAGCUCGUAGUUGAACCUUGGGCCUGGCUGGCCGGUCCGCCUCACCGCGUGCACUGGUCCGGCCGGGCCUUUCCCUCUGCGGAACCCCAUGCCCUUCACUGGGUGUGGCGGGGAAACAGGACUUUUACUUUGAAAAAAUUAGAGUGCUCAAGGCAGGCCUAUGCUCGAAUACAUUAGCAUGGAAUAAUAGAAUAGGACGUGUGGGUUCUAUUUUGUUGGUUUC
RNAcentral lists this ribosomal RNA (765 nucleotides) under Trichoderma sp. KUF14. Its description in RNAcentral is "SSU rRNA". It matches the Rfam family "Eukaryotic small subunit ribosomal RNA", at positions 78 to 851 of the family's 1831-position model. The record is from RNAcentral. Lineage: Eukaryota; Fungi; Ascomycota; Sordariomycetes; Hypocreales; Hypocreaceae.